ACUUAAUUGAAGUUGGACUUAACUGAAGUUGGACUUAAUUUAAGUUGGACUUAAUUGAAGUUGGACAUAAUUGAAGUUGGACUUAACUGAAGUUGGACUUAAUUGAAGUUGGACUUAAUUGAAGUUGGACCUAACUGAAGUUGGACUUAAUUGAAGUUGGACAUAAUUGAAGUUGGACUUAACUGAAGUUGGACAUAAUUGAAGUUGGACAUAAUUGAAGUUGGACAUAAUUGAAGUUGGACUUAACUGAAGUUGGACUUAAUUGAAGUUGGACAUAAUUGAAGUUGGACAUAACUGAAGUUGGACUUAAUGGAAGUUUGUUCGACUUAACUCAUUAAUUUCAAAUUAGUUAAAAAGUUAGGAGACAUUGAGUUAGACAAACAUAAUUGCUUAAGGUUGAAAGCAAGCCAGUGUGGAAAUACCUUCUUUGUUUAUAUGUAGGUUCAUCCAAAGAACACCUUAUCAGUGUAAACACAUUUUAAAUGUUGACAGGAAGUGAAGAGAGGCACUCUGAGUGUCACCGCAAUCUUUGGAAGUGCCUCUGUGAGUUUGGACGUUAUCUGAUGAGCUUCUUAAAGGCAGCAGGCUGAAUAAAACUCAACUUAUAUAUCAGGGGUUUCUCUAGAAAGAUAUAGUAUGAGUCCCUGACGAAAGGCCAUGGUCGAGGCCAUUAUAUAUUUUUUUAACUUUGUACUUUUAUAGUUAUUAGAGAAGAAGGAAGAGAGAUCAACAUGUGUGAGAUAAAAAAAAGUUUCUGAAAAACAUCUAAACUGUAGAUACAACAAUGUAAUUGGGUUUACUCAAAGAAAAAUAUGACUUUUCUUAAGUUGUUUUUCUUAAAUCUCACUUUUCUCAGAAGCUCUUUAAGGAAGUUAUUAGCUUGCUGCCUUCAAGAAAAUCUCAAUAUAUAGUUUUUUAGAGAUGUUUGUUUUGUGUUACCGGGCAGAUUACCACAAAAGAUAUCAAAGAGUAAAGUUAUCUGGAACUGUACCCUGUCGAACACAAACCAUCUCCUUUUAGUUCAUUGGAUUAACGGCAAUAACACAAUGGGUUCAAUUAGCACCUGGUGAUUUUUAGCUCUACACCUCACAGAAGCACUUAUUGCUACAACAAAUCCUGAUGUGUGUGUGUGUUCAGCUGGUGGAAAACACACUUUAAACACACACACACCACGUCUAAUAUCUUUGUCUACCUACUCUAUUUCCUCACACACACCGCCAAAAUGAUAUAUAUACUGUAGGGAGCAAAGAUUCAAUAUUAGCAAUCAUAUUGCAAGAAAAUACAUUUGUGAAAAAGAAAAA
Molecule: long non-coding RNA, 1301 nt
Organism: Notothenia coriiceps (black rockcod)
Lineage: Eukaryota; Metazoa; Chordata; Actinopteri; Perciformes; Nototheniidae
Exons: 2
Source: RefSeq, a predicted model, not a curated record